This 589-nucleotide ribosomal RNA is filed under the name uncultured bacterium. RNAcentral describes it as "partial 16S ribosomal RNA". It matches the Rfam family "Bacterial small subunit ribosomal RNA", at positions 355 to 941 of the family's 1533-position model. The record is from RNAcentral.
UAGGGAAUCUUCCACAAUGGACGAAAGUCUGAUGGAGCAACGCCGCGUGAGUGAAGAAGGUUCUCGGAUCGUAAAACUCUGUUGUGAGGGAAGAACAAGUACCGGAGUAACUGCCGGUACCUUGACGGUACCUCAUUAGAAAGCCACGGCUAACUACGUGCCAGCAGCCGCGGUAAUACGUAGGUGGCAAGCGUUGUCCGGAAUCAUUGGGCGUAAAGCGCGCGCAGGCGGUCCCUUAAGUCUGAUGUGAAAGCCCACGGCUCAACCGUGGAGGGUCAUUGGAAACCGGGGGACUUGAGUGCAGAAGAGGAAAGCGGAAUUCCAAGUGUAGCGGUGAAAUGCGUAGAGAUUUGGAGGAACACCAGUGGCGAAGGCGGCUUUCUGGUCUGUAACUGACGCUGAGGCGCGAAAGCGUGGGGAGCAAACAGGAUUAGAUACCCUGGUAGUCCACGCCGUAAACGAUGAGUGCUAAGUGUUAGGGGGUUUCCGCCCCUUAGUGCUGCAGCUAACGCAUUAAGCACUCCGCCUGGGGAGUACGGUCGCAAGACUGAAACUUAAAUGAAUUGACGGGGGUCAUAGCUGUUUCCUG